RNAcentral lists this unclassified non-coding RNA (194 nucleotides) under plant metagenome. Its description in RNAcentral is "partial contains small subunit ribosomal RNA and internal transcribed spacer 1". The stretch from base 1 to 46 matches the Rfam family "Eukaryotic small subunit ribosomal RNA", at positions 1786 to 1831 of the family's 1831-position model. The record is from RNAcentral.
AAGUCGUAACAAGGUUUCCGUAGGUGAACCUGCGGAAGGAUCAUUAUCGUAGGGCUUCGGCCCUGUCGAGAUAGAACCCUUUGCCUUUUUUGAGUACCUUUCGUUUCCUCGGCAGGCUCGCCUGCCAAUGGGGACCAACAAAAACAUCUUGCAGUACCUGUUAACAGUCUGAACAAACAAAACAAAAAUUAAAA